Molecule: long non-coding RNA, 1538 nt
Organism: Marmota monax (woodchuck)
Lineage: Eukaryota; Metazoa; Chordata; Mammalia; Rodentia; Sciuridae
Exons: 2
Source: RefSeq, a predicted model, not a curated record
UUGGAGGCAGGGGCUCUGCCUCACCCCUGGCCUCGGGGGCAGUCAGCUGACAGGCCACUAGGGAGGCUGAGUUGCUCUUUGGGCAGAACCAUCCAGAACAAAGUGCCCGGGGCCUGGCCAGGGAAGGGAGCUUUGCUCUCCCCGCUGUCUGUGGACAGAGGACAAUCCCAGCUGGGGGCAGGUGGCCCCAGGUGCAGUCACGUAUGGCACAGCCGGUCCUCACACGUCCUGGGGUGGGACGUGCCAAGAGGUUUAGGAAGCAGUGGUGCCCAGGGCUUCACAGGCAGGAUCGUGGCUCAAACCCCGCAGCUGGAUCCAGCCAGGAAUGAAGGCCGCUUCCCUCAAGCAUGAGCUUUGUUGUAGAGCGGGCCUGGCAGGGCUGCCUGGUAGGGCCCGGAGCAGAGAGACAAGCAGGCCUGUCCCUUGUUGCACUUUCAAGUGACUUGUGACCUCCAGGGCAGCCUGUUUAGCUCCUGUACUGCAGCAGACCUAGACCCGCCCAAGCAGGCCUGCGGAAGACGAGUUAUUUAAUUGACAAAAUGUUUGUUUUUAUCCAGUAGAAAUGUCCUCGGGUCCCUUUUGAGACCAUUCAGUAAGCAUUCAGACCAUCCCGACUAAUCGUCAGGAAAGAGUGCCCCGCGGGGGUAUCAGAAAGAGAGUUAUCAGGAAAAAUUAAACAGUGACAGAGCAUUAGUAUCUGGAAGGAAGAGAGUCUUGUCACAUCAAGAGGCGGGCUCCCCAGGAUGAACCCAAACUAUGUAAAAUUUUAGAUGUCAUUAACAAAAACAGGGGGGCUGCCAAGCUGGGUGGUCAUGGUGGGCUCCUGAGGAUGGAUUCCCACCGCCCCUGCCUGUCCAGGAACCGUCUGAUGGCGACAUCACGCAGGUCUCCGGUUGGUUUAAAACAUCCCUUGUCAACAGUAUUGCAACUUAAAACCCUCUCCCCACUCCCCACCAAUCAGAGAUGUUAAAUCGGGCAAGAGAUGUGCAUUCUGGAAUUACCUUCUGCCGGAUCUCCAAACCAUUUCAGGACGUCCUAAAGUCACGUCCCUCACCAGGCUUCCUGAGACCCGGAGCCAGUAGCGUCCACACUGCUGGGUUUCACAAACACUCCUCUCUUCCUUAGCAACCUCAAGAGCAAGAUGUCCUGUUACUAGUGCAAACCACUUUUUAUUUAUUCCAGUACGGUGUUGAAUUAAUAAACUGGCCAAGACUUAGCAAUAACUGCGCCCUUAUUCCAGUCUUCACUGGUCUCAAUAUCGCAAAAGAAAGAAUCGCCUGCCCCCUUGUGGGGACCACGGGCACUGCUUCCAUGACCGUCCAGCACCGCAGCUCAGUGGGGGCACCACAGGACCAGGGGCGACCUCUAAUCCAGGCUUUGGGUGGAAUUCUGGGUGGAGGAGGGAACCUACGGCAACAUUCCCAGGUGAAUUUUCCUCCCCGGUGUUCCACACACACAAUGUGUAAUUUCUUACAAAGCCAUCAUGUGUUUUUACUGGUGUCUUUAGAUACCAACAAGACUUGUGUUUUUAAAAUGUU